GACAGAGGUGGCUAGCGUUGUUCGGAUUUAUUGGGCGUAAAGCGAACGCAGGUGGUUUGGUAAGUCAGGGGUGAAAGUCCGCAGCUUAACUGCGGGACUGCCUCUGAUACUGCCUUUCUUGAGUGCAUGAGGGGGAAGCGGAAUUCCGAGUGUAGAGGUGAAAUUCGUAGAUAUUCGGAGGAACACCGGUGGCGAAGGCGGCUUCCUGGCAUGUAACUGACACUCAUGUUCGAAAGCGUGGGGAG
This 245-nucleotide ribosomal RNA is filed under the name uncultured Alphaproteobacteria bacterium. RNAcentral's name for it is "partial 16S ribosomal RNA". It matches the Rfam family "Bacterial small subunit ribosomal RNA", at positions 524 to 768 of the family's 1533-position model. The record is from RNAcentral. Lineage: Bacteria; Pseudomonadati; Pseudomonadota; Alphaproteobacteria.